GAUGAAGAACGUAGCGAAAUGCGAUAAGUAAUGUGAAUUGCAGAAUUCAGUGAAUCAUCGAAUCUUUGAACGCACAUUGCGCCCUUUGGUAUUCCAAAGGGCAUGCCUGUUCGAGCGUCAUUUGUACCCUCAAGCUUUGCUUGGUGUUGGGCGUCUUGUCUCCAGUCCGCUGGAGACUCGCCUUAAAGUCAUUGGCAGCCGGCCUACUGGUUUCGGAGCGCAGCACAAGUCGCACUCUUUUCCAGCCAAGGUCAGCGUCCAACAAGCCUUUUUUCAACUUUUGACCUCGGAUCAGGUAGGGAUACCCGCUGAACUUAAGCAUAUCAAUAAGCGGAGGA
Molecule: unclassified non-coding RNA, 338 nt
Filed under: soil metagenome
Description: partial contains 5.8S ribosomal RNA, internal transcribed spacer 2, and large subunit ribosomal RNA
Rfam family: 5.8S ribosomal RNA (bases 1-120)
Source: RNAcentral